RNAcentral lists this ribosomal RNA (232 nucleotides) under uncultured bacterium. RNAcentral's name for it is "partial 16S ribosomal RNA". It matches the Rfam family "Bacterial small subunit ribosomal RNA", at positions 255 to 504 of the family's 1533-position model. The record is from RNAcentral.
AGGUAACGGCUUACCAAGGCGACGAUCAGUAGCCGACCUGAGAGGGUGAUCGGCCACAUUGGAACUGAGACACGGUCCAAACUCCUACGGGAGGCAGCAGUGGGGAAUAUUGCACAAUGGGCGAAAGCCUGAUGCAGCGACGCCGCGUGGAGGAAGAAGGUCUUCGGGUCGUAAAGCUCUGUCCUCAAGGAAGAUAAUGACGGUACUUGAGGAGGAAGCCCCGGCUAACUAC